CAGCACUUCAAGUGGUCAGGAUGAUUAUUGGGCCUAAAGCGUCCGUAGCCGGCGCUGUAAGUUUUCGGUUAAAUCUGUACGCUCAACGUACAGGCUGCCGGGAAUACUGCAGCGCUAGGGAGUGGGAGAGGUAGACGGUACUCGGUAGGAAGGGGUAAAAUCCUUUGAUCUAUUGAUGACCACCUGUGGCGAAGGCGGUCUACCAGAACACGUCCGACGGUGAGGGAUGAAAGCUGGGGGAGCAAACCGGAUUAGAGACCCGAGUAGUCC
Molecule: ribosomal RNA, 270 nt
Filed under: uncultured archaeon
Lineage: Archaea
Description: partial 16S ribosomal RNA
Rfam family: Archaeal small subunit ribosomal RNA
Source: RNAcentral